Molecule: long non-coding RNA, 1531 nt
Filed under: Equus asinus (donkey)
Lineage: Eukaryota; Metazoa; Chordata; Mammalia; Perissodactyla; Equidae
Description: lncRNA (ENSEASG00005026992.1)
Source: RNAcentral
UGAUAAUUUGACAAAAAUGAACUGGGUAUAAGGAUUAUGAGUAAGAGGGAAGAUCUGCUUAAAUAUCGUGUCAAAAGACUGCCAAGGAGAUGAAAUUUAAGUUGAAUCUGGUCCCUGUGAACCCAUUUACUUAAAUGUUAACAAAAAAUUGUUAAGUACACACACAACACAACAAUUUUAUUAACCAUCAUAUAUCUCCAAUUCAAUUUUUCUUAAGUGAAUAAGCCCUUUCUUCUUUCUGAACACAUAUUUAAACAUAGCAUUAAUUAAACAAAAUUAAACAUUCUGAAAACAUAAUUAAACAAAACAUAAACACAUUGUUUUAAAUAGAAGAUACGCAGAAGUUUCUUGGUCAUCCUGAACUCAGUUUGCAAAUGAGAUAGUUUUAUGCCUUAAUCAUUAUCAAUGUCCCUCUCUCACUCACACCAGGAGAAGCCGGCAUCGGGUCGUGCUCCGUGUACAGACUUCUCCAUGUCUGUGUCUCAUAGGGUGACCCCUUCUCACAUUCCUCCUCUUGGCUUGUCAUGUGUCAAGGGCAAAUCUACUCAAUCCCCAAAGCUCCCAGGAUCAAAAAGAGAAGAAAUUCUUUCCUCAGGGAGCAGGAUAGGAAGAAGGCUGAAUGACCACAGGUUAGGAAUUGGGGUAAAAGGAAGAGAAGAGAAGAAACGGCAAGACAGGAUAACAGGGGAAAGGGUUUUCAAGGAAGAAAAGUCAGCAGUGUGGUUGGGCUGGAGGCCCCUUGGGAAGCAGAAGCUGGGGAUGGAGAUGAAAUGUGCUCCAGGUCACACAGAGAGGGAAGGGGAAGGUCAAUGUUUCCUUGUGUCCCAUUACACCCAGCUCAGGAUGCUCCUUAAAUACUUGUCAAGUCUACUUUUUUUUUUUUUUUAAAGAUUUUAUUUUUUCCUUUUUCUCCCCAAAGCCCCCCGGUACAUAGUUGUGUAUUCUUCGUUGUGGGUUCCUCUAGUUGUGGCAUGUGGGACGCUGCCUCAGCAUGGUCUGACGAGCAGUGCCAUGUCCGUGCCCAGGAUUCGAACCAACGAAACACUGGGCGGCCUGCAGUGGAGCGCGCGAACGUAACCACUCGGCCACGGGGCCAGCCCUCAAGUCUACAUUUUUAAACACCUGUUACAUGCUGUGUAUUGGAGAUGCAGACAAAGUUGAGAACGGGCUCUGCUCAUGUUCAAUAGAAAAAGACAGACACAGAAACAAAAGCCGCAAUACAACAUGCUCAGCACUCUCCUAAAGUCAUUCACUUUGGUUAACUGGAAGACAAAACGGUGGAAAAGCCGGUGAGGUGCAGAUUGUGACAACUGUAACUGUGAGUUCCCUGGACGGUGGGGAUUUAUCCAGACCUCUUCUUCACUGUAUCUUCAAUGACUGGAACACAGGGAGAAUGGCUCUGCUAUGGCACCCUGGUGACCUUGCCCGUGUCCCUCAGGCAAAGGCUGGAACCAUGGCUAACCUGAGCCUCGGCAAAAUGCCCUGUGAUCCUCCCAGAACACAAGAGGAUGGCCUGUGAGGCACUACCUCG